RNAcentral lists this transfer RNA (101 nucleotides) under Mycolicibacterium fortuitum. RNAcentral describes it as "tRNA-Glu(ctc)". The record is from RNAcentral. Lineage: Bacteria; Bacillati; Actinomycetota; Actinomycetes; Mycobacteriales; Mycobacteriaceae.
ACGAAGCCUGGCUGGCGGUGAGCCGGGGCGUCGACGCCCUCGCCGUCCAGGGUCCGGGAGCCGGGGGACACCGUGGCACGUUCGAUCCGGGCGCCUCGCCC